This 203-nucleotide long non-coding RNA is filed under the name Brassica napus (rape). RNAcentral describes it as "long non-coding RNA (BNAP_LNC014355)". Lineage: Eukaryota; Viridiplantae; Streptophyta; Magnoliopsida; Brassicales; Brassicaceae. The record is from RNAcentral.
GCAAAGCUUAUAUAGUUAGGUUAAAACUCGUCAGGGGUAAUCUUGUAAAUUGCUGAAGACUUGGGCUUCAAGUCGGCUGUGACCAAACGGGCUUUCUGCGCGCUUCGCUGUCGAUCGAUGUUCAGGUGUGAACAUCGAUCGAUAUUCCUCCUCCAAUAUCGACUGAUGGUCGAGCUUGAUGGUCGAGCUUGAUGGUCAUCUCG